CCUUGAACACCUUGUCAGGAAAGGUUAUGAAAAAAUGUCAUAGGGAAAAGAGUCUGGAACUCUUACCUCAGGAAAACUGAGAGUCAGUCUUUGAAAUCAAAGAUCCAGAACUCUGUGAACUAGAACCCCAGUGACUGUCACCAGCAUUCCCAUGGGGCAGUGGGGGAAGCCUGGAGCCCUGCCAGAGGGGACACGGCUUCUCUAGGAUGCUAAGAGCCCACACUCAGCACCAACCGAGACAAGGAACCAGAGCCACUGGUGAGAACACGUGAUCUGAAAAACCACGUACUUUAAGACUGCGGCCCAUGCA
This 310-nucleotide long non-coding RNA is filed under the name Mustela putorius furo (domestic ferret). RNAcentral's name for it is "lncRNA (ENSMPUG00000025376.1)". The record is from RNAcentral. Lineage: Eukaryota; Metazoa; Chordata; Mammalia; Carnivora; Mustelidae.